GACGAACGCUGGCGGCGUGCCUAAUACAUGCAAGUCGAGCGAGCAAUUUUAGCAGAAUACCUUCGGGUAGGAAGCUAAGAGCGCGAGCGGCGGAUGGGUGAGUAACACGUGGGCAACCUACCCUUUAGCUGGGGAUACCACUUGGAAACAGGUGCUAAUACCGAAUAAGAAGCAAGAGCGCAUGCUCAAGCUAUGAAAGGCGGCUUUGAGCUGUCACUAAAGGAUGGGCCCGCGGUGCAUUAGCUAGUUGGUAAGGUAACGGCUUACCAAGGCGAUGAUGCAUAGCCGAGUUGAGAGACUGAACGGCCACAUUGGGACUGAGACACGGCCCAAACUCCUACGGGAGGCAGCAGUAGGGAAUCUUCCACAAUGGACGCAAGUCUGAUGGAGCAACGCCGCGUGAGUGAAGAAGGUUUUCGGAUCGUAAAGCUCUGUUGUUGGUGAAGAAGGAUAAGGAUAGUAACUGAUUCAUAUUUGACGGUAAUCAACCAGAAAGUCACGGCUAACUGCGUGCCAGCAGCCGCCGUAA
RNAcentral lists this ribosomal RNA (529 nucleotides) under uncultured bacterium. RNAcentral describes it as "partial 16S ribosomal RNA". It matches the Rfam family "Bacterial small subunit ribosomal RNA", at positions 28 to 523 of the family's 1533-position model. The record is from RNAcentral.